AUCCGGAGGGGGCUAGCGUUGUUCGGAAUUACUGGGCGUAAAGCGCACGUAGGCGGCGCACGCAGUCAGAGGUGAAAGGCCUGGGCUCAACCCAGGAACUGCCUUUGAUACUGGUGUGCUAGAGUCCGGGAGAGGGUAGCGGAAUUCCCAGUGUAGAGGUGAAAUUCGUAGAUAUUGGGAAGAACACCGGUUGCGAAGGCGGCUACCUGGACCGGUACUGACGCUGAGGUGCGAAAGCGUGGGGAGCAAACAGGAUUAGAAACCCCAGUAGUCC
RNAcentral lists this ribosomal RNA (274 nucleotides) under uncultured bacterium. RNAcentral describes it as "partial 16S ribosomal RNA". It matches the Rfam family "Bacterial small subunit ribosomal RNA", at positions 523 to 796 of the family's 1533-position model. The record is from RNAcentral.